UAACGUACAGUCCACCGUGAUGGGGACCCUGCCUGUAAGAGGAGAUGUACACAGCCUCACGGGGCCGAAGCCAACUCACAGUGAGGUGACGGACACGGUGCCAUCCAGCUAACCUUUGGGAGCAGAUGAGCAUUGGAGGUAUCCCAGAAGAUGACAGCACAUUGUCCAAGUCUAGUCAGAGCCAGUGACACGAGGACCUGCCUCGGUGAUGGUG
Molecule: long non-coding RNA, 214 nt
Organism: Corapipo altera (White-ruffed manakin)
Lineage: Eukaryota; Metazoa; Chordata; Aves; Passeriformes; Pipridae
Exons: 4
Source: RefSeq, a predicted model, not a curated record